RNAcentral lists this ribosomal RNA (1384 nucleotides) under uncultured bacterium. Its description in RNAcentral is "16S ribosomal RNA". It matches the Rfam family "Bacterial small subunit ribosomal RNA". The record is from RNAcentral.
UUAGAGUUUGAUCCUGGCUCAAGAUGACCUCUAGCGACAGGCUUAACACAUGCAAGUCGAGGGGCAGCACGAUGUAUCAAUACAUUGGUGGCGACCGGCGCACGGGUGAGUAACGCGUAUGCAACCUACCUAUCAGAGGGGAAUAACCCGGCGAAAGUCGGACUAAUACCGCAUAAAACAGGGGUUCCACAUGGAAAUAUUUGUUAAAGAAUUAUCGCUGAUAGAUGGGCAUGCGUUCCAUUAGAUAGUUGGUGAGGUAACGGCUCACCAAGUCCACGAUGGAUAGGGGUUCUGAGAGGAAGGUCCCCCACACUGGUACUGAGACACGGACCAGACUCCUACGGGAGGCAGCAGUGAGGAAUAUUGGUCAAUGGGCGAGAGCCUGAACCAGCCAAGUCGCGUGAAGGAUGAAGGAUCUAUGGCUUGUAAACUUCUUUUAUAUGGGAAUAAAGUGAGGAACGUGUUCCUUUUUGUAUGUACCAUAUGAAUAAGCAUCGGCUAACUCCGUGCCAGCAGCCGCGGUAAUACGGAGGAUGCGAGCGUUAUCCGGAUUUAUUGGGUUUAAAGGGUGCGUAGGUGGCUAAUUAAGUCAGCGGUGAAAGUUUGUGGCUCAACCAUAAAAUUGCCGUUGAAACUGGUUAGCUUGAGUAUAUUUGAGGUAGGCGGAAUGCGUGGUGUAGCGGUGAAAUGCAUAGAUAUCACGCAGAACUCCGAUUGCGAAGGCAGCUUACUAAACUAUAACUGACACUGAAGCACGAAAGCGUGGGGAUCAAACAGGAUUAGAUACCCUGGUAGUCCACGCAGUAAACGAUGAUUACUAGCUGUUUGCGAUACACAGUAAGCGGCACAGCGAAAGCGUUAAGUAAUCCACCUGGGGAGUACGCCGGCAACGGUGAAACUCAAAGGAAUUGACGGGGGCCCGCACAAGCGGAGGAACAUGUGGUUUAAUUCGAUGAUACGCGAGGAACCUUACCCGGGUUUGAACGCAUUCGGACCGGAGUGGAAACACUUCUUCUAGUAAUAGCCGUUUGCGAGGUGCUGCAUGGUUGUCGUCAGCUCGUGCCGUGAGGUGUCGGCUUAAGUGCCAUAACGAGCGCAACCCUUAUCACUAGUUACUAACAGGUCAUGCUGAGGACUCUAGUGAGACUGCCAGCGUAAGCUGUGAGGAAGGUGGGGAUGACGUCAAAUCAGCACGGCCCUUACAUCCGGGGCGACACACGUGUUACAAUGGUGGGGACAAAGGGCAGCUACCGUGUGAGCGGAUGCAAAUCUCCAAACCCCAUCUCAGUUCGGAUCGAAGUCUGCAACCCGACUUCGUGAAGCUGGAUUCGCUAGUAAUCGCGCAUCAGCCAUGGCGCGGUGAAUACGUUCCCGGGCCUUGUAC